This 1222-nucleotide long non-coding RNA is filed under the name Canis lupus familiaris (dog). Its description in RNAcentral is "lncRNA (ENSCAFG00845019682.1)". The record is from RNAcentral. Lineage: Eukaryota; Metazoa; Chordata; Mammalia; Carnivora; Canidae.
CCACGGCCGAGCGCCCCGGACAGGGCCCGAGCCCGCGGCGCAGCGGAGAGGCGGCCUGCGCCCGGGAAGGGCUCGGCAAAGGGGAACGGAGGGGCGCACCCUAUGCUGCGGGAGCGCGAGUGGAGGGGGGCACCCGGUUUAGGGGCGAAUAGCGCGGGCUCCGGGGGAGGCCACGCGGCCCGGAGCUUUGCGGCCGGCGGCCAAGAGUGCGCCACGGCCUCCCGUGCCCUGAGCGCGGUCUGGGGGGCCCUGGCCUGCCCGCAGGACGAGCUUUAAUUUGUCCGAACUAACACAGGGCACGCCCUCACGUGGUCGGCUGGGGCAAUGUGAAGUGUGCUAGGACAUCUUCGAGGGGGGUCUCCACCCGAGUCCGAGGGGCCGGCGGCUGGAGGCGCCCUCCGACUGCGCGCCCGCGGUCCUGCUAUGCCAAGGGGCCUGAGCACGGCCCGGGAGGACGUGGGGGCCACUGCGGGUGUCUCCCUGCGGACAUUCCCUAACCUCCCCCCACCCCCACCCAACUGGCGCCGAUGCUCCAAAUGCCCCAUUUUGUGGUGCGCAAGUGGCCGCCACCGUUCGCCCCAAAGCCAAAUGGCGGUUCCACGGUGGAGCCGGUUGAGUGUCAGGCUGCGACCCCCCAAGGAGUUCUCCGACGUGAUGGGGGGAGGGGAGGUGCUGGGCCGCACCCCUCCCCCUCGCGGGAGGGGAGGGCGAUUGCGAGCCGGGCCUGGAGACUGCUUUCCCAGCUCCCUCUCUCCUGGUACCAGGCGAAGUCCCCCGCGGGGGCUUGUGCAAGUCUGGAGGCUCUGAUACGGGCGGGAUCCAGCGUGACUGGUGCCCUGGAGGCGCCGGAAGGCAUUUCACGAAGUGAAAGAUGCCUCUACUUGGGGAAGCUGGAUCCAUGGGGAGACACCCCGGGGGGAGAGCUGAUUCCUUCGGGGCACAGACCCCAUCUGCCCUCCGACAAGCUAGUGAAUAAGACCCAGAAGAGGAGGAAAUUGAGGCUAGGAACCAGUGAGACGGGGGGUGGAGAUUUUUUGGCCGGGAGAGGAGCCAGUGGCCUGGAGGCAGGGGAGGUCUUCAGCUCCCCCGCAGUGAGUACAGCCCAUAGGAGAGGAAAGAUAAGCUCAGGUCCCUGCAAAGAAGGCCAAGCCUCUCUCCCAGGAAGGACCCUAAGUGGACCUUGAGCCAUGGAAAACCUUGCAGGCCUGAGACCUCCCGCAAG